Molecule: ribosomal RNA, 253 nt
Filed under: uncultured bacterium
Lineage: Bacteria
Description: partial 16S ribosomal RNA
Rfam family: Bacterial small subunit ribosomal RNA
Source: RNAcentral
UACGUAGGGGGCAAGCGUUGUCCGGAAUCAUUGGGCGUAAAGAGCGUGUAGGCGGCCAGGUAGGUCGGUUGUGAAAACUGGGGGCUCAACCUUCAGAGGUCGACCGAAACCAUCUGGCUAGAGUCCGGGAGAGGAGAGUGGAAUUCCUGGUGUAGCGGUGAAAUGCGCAGAUAUCAGGAAGAACACCCGUGGCGAAGGCGGCUCUCUGGAACGCAACUGACGCUGAGACGCGAAAGCGUGGGGAGCAAACAGG